RNAcentral lists this ribosomal RNA (516 nucleotides) under Bacillus subtilis. RNAcentral describes it as "bacterial SSU rRNA". It matches the Rfam family "Bacterial small subunit ribosomal RNA", at positions 98 to 599 of the family's 1533-position model. The record is from RNAcentral. Lineage: Bacteria; Bacillati; Bacillota; Bacilli; Caryophanales; Bacillaceae.
GCGGACGGGUGAGUAACACGUGGGUAACCUGCCUGUAAGACUGGGAUAACUCCGGGAAACCGGGGCUAAUACCGGAUGGUUGUUUGAACCGCAUGGUUCAAACAUAAAAGGUGGCUUCGGCUACCACUUACAGAUGGACCCGCGGCGCAUUAGCUAGUUGGUGAGGUAACGGCUCACCAAGGCAACGAUGCGUAGCCGACCUGAGAGGGUGAUCGGCCACACUGGGACUGAGACACGGCCCAGACUCCUACGGGAGGCAGCAGUAGGGAAUCUUCCGCAAUGGACGAAAGUCUGACGGAGCAACGCCGCGUGAGUGAUGAAGGUUUUCGGAUCGUAAAGCUCUGUUGUUAGGGAAGAACAAGUACCGUUCGAAUAGGGCGGUACCUUGACGGUACCUAACCAGAAAGCCACGGCUAACUACGUGCCAGCAGCCGCGGUAAUACGUAGGUGGCAAGCGUUGUCCGGAAUUAUUGGGCGUAAAGGGCUCGCAGGCGGUUUCUUAAGUCUGAUGUGAAA